CAUGUUGCACAUCACUGGAAACACCUCGUAGAGUAACUGUGGUUUUGCUUCACUCACCGGACUCUCUUAGGUCUGUGGGAAGUAACUUUAAGACAGUU
This 98-nucleotide small nucleolar RNA is filed under the name Chinchilla lanigera (long-tailed chinchilla). Lineage: Eukaryota; Metazoa; Chordata; Mammalia; Rodentia; Chinchillidae. The record is from RNAcentral.